Molecule: ribosomal RNA, 399 nt
Filed under: uncultured bacterium
Lineage: Bacteria
Description: partial 16S ribosomal RNA
Rfam family: Bacterial small subunit ribosomal RNA
Source: RNAcentral
CCUACGGGAGGCAGCAGUGGGGAAUAUUGCACAAUGGGGGAAACCCUGAUGCAGCGACGCCGCGGGAGUGAAGAAGGAAUUCGGGAUGUAAAGCUCUAGCAGCAGGGAAGAAAAGGACGGUACCUGAGUAAGAAGCCCCGGCGAACUACGUGCCAGCAGCCGCGGUAAUACGGAGGGGGCAAGCGUUAGCCGGAUUUACUGGGUGUACAGGGAGCGUAGACGGCUGUGCAAGUCUGGAGUGACAGGCGGGGGCUCCACCCCCGGACUGCUCUGGAAACGGUACGGCUUGAGUGCAGGAGAGGUAAGUGGACUUCCUCUUGUAGCGGUGACAUGCUUAUCUCUUAGGAGGCACCCCAGUGGCGCAGGCGGCUUACUGGACUGUACCUUCCGUUGUGGCUC